This 506-nucleotide ribosomal RNA is filed under the name uncultured bacterium. Its description in RNAcentral is "partial 16S ribosomal RNA". It matches the Rfam family "Bacterial small subunit ribosomal RNA", at positions 28 to 523 of the family's 1533-position model. The record is from RNAcentral.
GAUGAACGCUAGCUACAGGCUUAACACAUGCAAGUCGAGGGGUAACAAGAGAAAAGCUUGCUUUUCUUGUUGACGACCGGCGCACGGGUGAGUAACGCGUAUCCAACAUGCCUAUAACUAGGGAAUAACCUUGCGAAAGUAAGACUAAUACCCUAUGAUUUCCUUUGAUGGCAUCAGAUUAGGAAUAAAGAUUUAUCGGUUAUAGAUGGGGAUGCGUCUGAUUAGCUUGUUGGCGGGGUAACGGCCCACCAAGGCAACGAUCAGUAGGGGUUCUGAGAGGAAGGUCCCCCACAUUGGAACUGAGACACGGUCCAAACUCCUACGGGAGGCAGCAGUGAGGAAUAUUGGUCAAUGGGCGGAAGCCUGAACCAGCCAAGUAGCGUGCAGGAUGACGGCCCUAUGGGUUGUAAACUGCUUUUAUACAGGAAUAAAGUUAGCCACGUGUGGUUAUUUGUAGGUACUGUAUGAAUAAGGACCGGCUAAUUCCGUGCCAGCAGCCGCAGUAA